RNAcentral lists this transfer RNA (72 nucleotides) under Bos taurus (domestic cattle). It matches the Rfam family "tRNA". Rfam says of the family: Transfer RNA (tRNA) molecules are approximately 80 nucleotides in length. Their secondary structure includes four short double-helical elements and three loops (D, anti-codon, and T loops). Further hydrogen bonds mediate the characteristic L-shaped molecular structure. tRNAs have two regions of fundamental functional importance: the anti-codon, which is responsible for specific mRNA codon recognition, and the 3' end, to which the tRNAs corresponding amino acid is attached (by aminoacyl-tRNA synthetases). tRNAs cope with the degeneracy of the genetic code in two manners: having more than one tRNA (with a specific anti-codon) for a particular amino acid; and 'wobble' base-pairing, i.e. permitting non-standard base-pairing at the 3rd anti-codon position. Lineage: Eukaryota; Metazoa; Chordata; Mammalia; Artiodactyla; Bovidae. The record is from Rfam by way of RNAcentral. RNAcentral also lists the same sequence under 2 other names.
UCCCUGGUGGCUCAGAUGGUAAAGCGUCUGCCUACAAUGUGGAAGACCUGGGUUCAAUCCCUGGAUUGGGAA